UACGCCUUUGUAUGGUGGCGGUAGUGGAAACACCCGCACGGUUACUACAACGACCGAGGACACCUAACCGAGGGCUUUUU
RNAcentral lists this non-coding RNA (80 nucleotides) under unclassified sequences. The record is from RNAcentral.